Molecule: ribosomal RNA, 524 nt
Filed under: uncultured bacterium
Lineage: Bacteria
Description: partial 16S ribosomal RNA
Rfam family: Bacterial small subunit ribosomal RNA
Source: RNAcentral
GACGAACGCUGGCGGCGUGCCUAAUACAUGCAAGUCGAACGCUUCUUUUCCCACCGGAGCUUGCUCCACCGGGAAAAGAGGAGUGGCGAACGGGUGAGUAACACGUGGGUAACCUGCCCAUCAGAAGGGGAUAACACUUGGAAACAGGUGCUAAUACCGUAUAACAAUCGAAACCGCAUGGUUUCGUUUUGAAAGGCGCUUUACGGUGCCGCUGAUGGAUGGACCCGCGGUGCAUUAGCUAGUUGGUGAGGUAACGGCUCACCAAGGCCACGAUGCAUAGCCGCCCUGAGAGGGUGAUCGGCCAAAUUGGGACUGAGACACGGCCCAAACUCCUACGGGAGGCAGCAGUAGGGAAUCUUCGGCAAUGGACGAAAGUCUGACCGAGCAACGCCGCGUGAGUGAAGAAGGUUUUCGGAUCGUAAAACUCUGUUGUUAGAGAAGAACAAGGGUGAGAGUAACUGUUCACCCCUUGACGGUAUCUAACCAGAAAGCCACGGCUAACUACGUGCCAGCCGCCGCCGUAA